This is a non-coding RNA of Vicia faba (fava bean), 291 nucleotides long. Lineage: Eukaryota; Viridiplantae; Streptophyta; Magnoliopsida; Fabales; Fabaceae. The record is from the annotation of a GenBank genome assembly.
AUGUCUCAGUUCUCAUCUGAGAACUACUCGGUUACGACAUCGGUGUUGAUGUUGUGUUUGUUGUUAUUUGCUUCUGUAACGAUGGACAAAGUUGAAGCUUGGAGGAAGAUUGUUGCUAAUUUUUGGAGUGUUUUGUUACCGAAGGUGAUGGGUUAUGUCCAGAACAAAAUGAUGAACGAAAAGGGAAAGGUUUGUGAAGAAAUUCAAAGGAGUUAUUACCGUUGUGGUUUUUUGACUGAGAUUUUGCAGUAUGACAGUAACAGGUUUGUGGGAAGAUUUGGCAAGAGUUGA